Molecule: ribosomal RNA, 1188 nt
Filed under: Triticum aestivum (bread wheat)
Lineage: Eukaryota; Viridiplantae; Streptophyta; Magnoliopsida; Poales; Poaceae
Description: partial small subunit ribosomal RNA
Source: RNAcentral
CUGGCUUGGGAUAAGAUGACUAAGCCUAAAGGUGAGGGUGGGAUGGGAUUCUGGGACCUCAGAUUAUUUAACCAUGCUCUGCUAGCGAAGCAGGCUUGGAGGUUGGUGGUUCAUCCUGAAUCUAUGUGCGCUAAAGUGAUUAAGGCAAAAUAUUAUCCCCAGGGACAUAUCCUUGAUAUGGUUUUCCCCUAGUCAGCUUCUCUUACGUGGCAAGGUAUUCUGGAUGGAUUGGAUCUGCUUAAAUCCGGAGUCAAUUGGAGAGUGUGUGAUGGGACUAAUAUUAAUAUCUAGAGAGAUAACUGGCUCCCAAGAUCUUCUGGACUUAAAAUUACUGCCAGAAAGAACAGGACAAGAGUCAAAUGGGUAUCAGACUUGAUGUUGAGCGAUCCUAGGAGGUGGGAUGAAAAUAUAGUUAAGCAUUUGUUUUAUCCAUAUGAUGCGGAGGAGAUUUUGAGGUUGCGUAUGCAAUCAAAUGGGGAGGGUGAUUUUGUUGCUCGGCAUUUUCAAAAAAAUGGGAUGUUCUCAGUUAAAAGUGCGUACAAGCUUGCGCUUACUUUGAAGGAUAAAAAAGAGGAUGAGGGUCAAUGUAGUGAGGCUGUAUUGGGGGAGAGGAAAAUCUGGGAUGUCAUCUGGAAGGCUAAUGUCCCUCAGAAGAUUCGCAUUUUUGCGUGGAGGGUUGUAACUAAUAGCUUGGCUGUCCAGGUUAAUAGAGUGCUGCAUCACCAAACUUCCGUUACAAUGUGCACUAUUUGUGGAAUGGAGGAUGAAAGUACUUUUCAUGAGCUUCUUAGGUGUCCGAAGGCGGUUGCGUUGCGGAUGGCCAUGAGGGACAUUUGGGAGUUACCUAUGGAGAAUGUCUUCAGAUAUACAGGGUAUGAUUGGUUUAUUGUUCUUCUAAGUCAAUUGAGGCCUGUCAUGCACGACCAAAUUAUUUUCAUUUUCUGGAAAGCAUGGCACUUGAGAAAUGACUUGAUAUUUGGUAAAGGAAAGGAAUCAGUAGCAGCUUAUGCUAGCUUUGUGGAGAAUUAUUGGGCGUCUUAUGCCGCAUGUCACUCAGUGCCUCCAGUAGAUUCGAAUAUUAAAGGAAAAGGUCCAAUGGAUGGAUUAAGAUGGGCACAUGAUAAUGUGGGAGCUAAGGCGGAUUGGAUUCCCCCACUGAUACAUCUCCAACGUAUCUAUAAUUUUUGA